UGGGGAAUUUUGGACAAUGGGCGCAAGCCUGAUCCAGCCAUGCCGCGUGAGUGAAGAAGGCCUUCGGGUUGUAAAGCUCUUUCGGCGGGGACGAAACGGUCCGUGACAACACCACGGACUAAUGACAGUACUCGCAGAAGAAGCACCGGCUAACUACGUGCCAGCAGCCGCGGUAAUACGUAGGGUGCAGGCGUUAAUCGGAAUUACUGGGCGUAAAGCGUGCGCAGGCGGCUCCUUAAGUCAGAUGUGAAAUCCCCGGGCUUAACCUGGGAACUGCGUUUGAAACUGGGGAGCUAGAGUGUGGAAGAGGGGGGUGGAAUUCCAGGUGUAGCAGUGAAAUGCGUAGAUAUCUGGAGGAACACCGAUGGCGAAGGCAGCCCCCUGGGCUAACACUGACGCUCAUGCACGAAAGCGUGGGGAGCAAACAGGAUUAGAUACCCUGGUAGUCCACGCCCUAAACGAUGUCAACUGGUUGUCGGGGAAGUUAUUCCUUGGUAACG
This 500-nucleotide ribosomal RNA is filed under the name uncultured Pseudomonadota bacterium. Its description in RNAcentral is "bacterial SSU rRNA". It matches the Rfam family "Bacterial small subunit ribosomal RNA", at positions 355 to 848 of the family's 1533-position model. Lineage: Bacteria; Pseudomonadati; Pseudomonadota. The record is from RNAcentral.